This 25-nucleotide unclassified non-coding RNA is filed under the name Mus musculus (house mouse). Its description in RNAcentral is "oocyte_clustered_small_RNA11140". Lineage: Eukaryota; Metazoa; Chordata; Mammalia; Rodentia; Muridae. The record is from RNAcentral.
UGGACCUGAGCCGUGUUUGCUGACU